CCCGGACAGGCGUUCGUGCGACGU
This 24-nucleotide microRNA is filed under the name Homo sapiens (human). RNAcentral describes it as "hsa-miR-3687". The record is from RNAcentral. Lineage: Eukaryota; Metazoa; Chordata; Mammalia; Primates; Hominidae.